This is a non-coding RNA of Hyaena hyaena (striped hyena), 799 nucleotides long. Lineage: Eukaryota; Metazoa; Chordata; Mammalia; Carnivora; Hyaenidae. The record is from the annotation of a RefSeq genome assembly.
AAGGCCAGUGCUCGGGUCCUCACCGCAGACCCAGAUUUCCAUGAUCAGAUCUUACUUCACACUCUGCAGGCAGAACAACUGUGUCUUUAGUGCUUUUCCUCCAACCCCACAACAUGAUUAUGUGAAUUUGUUCACAUGAUAAAGGCUGUACCCUCUGUUGGCUCUUUCAAAUCUGCUGCAGCCACAGGACAUUUGCAUAGUGUCCCUAGGGAGGACCUUCCCUUGCAAGUCUGAGAUAAAAGGUCACCUCUAAAAUGGUCUUGACUUAUGAGAGCUCAUCAGUUCAACUUCACAAAAUGAAAUUCCCUGCUCAGCUCUUGGGGCUCUUCAUGCUCUGGAUCCCAGGAUCCAGUGGGGAUAUUGUGAUGACACAGAGCCCUCUGACCCUGCCCAUCACCCCUGGACAGCCAGCCUCCGUCUCCUGCAGGGCCAGUCAGAGCCUCCUGCACAGUAAUAGAAUCAACUAUUUAAAUUGGUACCAGCAGAAGCCGGGCCAGUCUCCACAGCUCCUCAUCUAUACGGCUUCCAACUGGGCCUCUGGGGUCCCUGACAGGUUCAGUGGCAGUGGGUCAGGGACAGAUUUCACCCUGAGAAUCAGCAGGGUGGAGGCUGAGGACGUCGGGUUUUAUUACUGCCAGCAAGCUCUACAAACUCCUCCCAGGGUGAUUAAACGUUGAACGAAAACCUGCCUGGCUGGGGAUUUCAACUGCCCCAAAGUGUUGCUUGUCUGGGUGGCCCACAGCAGGUCGUCCGAGUGUGUGUAAGUGGAAGACGUUGGACACCCCAGGGGACUAGAUCG